GACGAACGCUGGCGGCGUGCCUAACACAUGCAAGUCGCACGGGACCAGGGGCAACUCUGGUUCAGUGGCGGACGGGUGCGUAACACGUGAGGAACAUGACCUUCGGCGGGGAGUAGCCGGCCCAACGGCCGGGUAAUACCGCGUACGACCUUCUGGGACGAUCCCUGGAUGGUGAAAGCAGCGAAUGCGCCGACUGGAGUGCCUCGCGGCCUAUCAGCUAGUUGGUGGGGUAACGGCUCACC
Molecule: ribosomal RNA, 242 nt
Filed under: uncultured bacterium
Lineage: Bacteria
Description: partial 16S ribosomal RNA
Rfam family: Bacterial small subunit ribosomal RNA
Source: RNAcentral